This 253-nucleotide ribosomal RNA is filed under the name uncultured bacterium. RNAcentral's name for it is "partial 16S ribosomal RNA". It matches the Rfam family "Bacterial small subunit ribosomal RNA", at positions 524 to 776 of the family's 1533-position model. The record is from RNAcentral.
UACGUAGGGUGCAAGCGUUGUCCGGAAUUAUUGGGCGUAAAGAGCUCGUAGGCGGUCUGUCGCGUCCGCUGUGAAAAUCCAGGGCUCAACCCUGGACCUGCAGUGGGUACGGGCAGACUAGAGUGCGGUAGGGGAGAUCGGAAUUCCUGGUGUAGCGGUGAAAUGCGCAGAUAUCAGGAGGAACACCAGUGGCGAAGGCGCCGCUCUGGGCCGUGACUGACGCUGAGGAGCGAAAGCGUGGGUAGCAAACAGG